Molecule: long non-coding RNA, 282 nt
Filed under: Capsella rubella
Lineage: Eukaryota; Viridiplantae; Streptophyta; Magnoliopsida; Brassicales; Brassicaceae
Description: long non-coding RNA (CRUB_LNC004247)
Source: RNAcentral
GUCGUCACUUUUUUUUUUCCUAUAAAUGUUUUGAUUCCACAAAUACUAUAGUAUAGAUGAAAACAAAGCAAGAUGAUAGAAAAUAGGGUUUGAUACCACAAGUGUGGUCCAAAUCAAAACAAAAAAUAUAAUAAAAAUAGGGUUUGAUACCACAUGUGUGGUCCAUAUCAAAACCAAGAUAGAUAAUGGAUGAAGGUUAAAAAACCAAGAAAGAUAAUAAAAAGGGUUUGAUACGACAACGCUAGCUCGGAUCAAAAUCUAUGCCUUUCAAUAUUAAAAAAA